Molecule: transfer RNA, 69 nt
Filed under: Paranauphoeta nigra
Lineage: Eukaryota; Metazoa; Arthropoda; Insecta; Blattodea; Blaberidae
Description: tRNA-Leu
Source: RNAcentral
UCUGAUAUGGCAGAUUAGUGCAAUGGAUUUAAGCCCCAUAUAUAAAGUAAUUAUUACCUUUUAUUAGAA